AGUCGUAACAAGGUCUCCGUUGGUGAACCAGCGGAGGGAUCAUUACCGAGUUAUUCAACUCAUCAACCCUGUGAACUUACCUAAACGUUGCUUCGGCGGGAAUAGACGGCCCUGUAAAACGGGCCGCCCCCGCCAGAGGACCCUUAACUCUGUUUCUUAUAAUGUUUCUUCUGAGUAAAACAAGCAAAUAAAUUAAAACUUUCAACAACGGAUCUCUUGGCUCUGGCAUCGAUGAAGAACGCAGCGAAAUGCGAUAAGUAAUGUGAAUUGCAGAAUUCAGUGAAUCAUCGAAUCUUUGAACGCACAUUGCGCCCGCCAGUAUUCUGGCGGGCAUGCCUGUUCGAGCGUCAUUACAACCCUCAGGCCCCCGGGCCUGGCGUUGGGGAUCGGCGGAGCGCCCCUCGUGGGCGCACGCCGUCCCCCAAAUACAGUGGCGGUCCCGCCGCAGCUUCCAUCGCGUAGUAGCUAACACCUCGCGACUGGAGAGCGGCGCGGCCACGCCGUAAAACACCCCAACUCUUCUGAAGUUGACCUCGAAUCAGGUAGGAAUACCCGCUGAACUUAAGCAUAUCAAUAA
Molecule: unclassified non-coding RNA, 577 nt
Filed under: Fusarium petroliphilum
Lineage: Eukaryota; Fungi; Ascomycota; Sordariomycetes; Hypocreales; Nectriaceae
Description: sequence contains 18S rRNA gene, ITS1, 5.8S rRNA gene, ITS2, 28S rRNA gene
Rfam family: 5.8S ribosomal RNA (bases 197-350)
Source: RNAcentral